This 829-nucleotide ribosomal RNA is filed under the name Proteus mirabilis. Its description in RNAcentral is "bacterial SSU rRNA". It matches the Rfam family "Bacterial small subunit ribosomal RNA", at positions 100 to 925 of the family's 1533-position model. The record is from RNAcentral. Lineage: Bacteria; Pseudomonadati; Pseudomonadota; Gammaproteobacteria; Enterobacterales; Morganellaceae.
GGACGGGUGAGUAAUGUAUGGGAAUCUGCCCGAUAGAGGGGGAUAUCUACUGGAAACGGUGGCUAAUACCGCAUAAUGUCUACAGACCAAAGAGGGGGCUCUUCGGACCUUGCCCUAUCAGAUGACCCCAUAUGGGAUUAUCUAGUAGGUGGGGUAAGGGCUCACCUAGGCGACUAUCUCUAUCUGGUCUGAGAGGAUGAUCACCCACUCUGGGACUGACACACGGCCCACACUCCUACGGGAGGCAGCAGUGGGGAAUAUUGCACUGUGGGCGCAAGCCUGAUGCACCCAUGCCGCGUGUAUGAAAAAGGCCUUAGGGUUGUAAAGUACUUUCAGCGGGGAGGAAGGGGAUAGGGUUAAUACCCUUGUCUAUUGACGUUACCCGCAAAAAAAGCACCGGCUAUCUCCGUGCCAGCACCCGCGGUAAUACGGAGGGUGCAAGCGUUAAUCGGAAUUACUGGGCGUAAAGCGCACGCAGGCGGUGUCUUAACUCAUAUGUGAAACCCCCGAUCUUAACUUGGGAAUUGCAUCUGAAACUGGUGGGCUAGAGUCUUGUAGAGGGGGGUAAAAUUCCGUGUGUAGCGGUGAUAUGCGUAGAGAUGUGGAAGAAUACCGGUGGCGAGCGCGGCCCCCUGGACAAAGACUGACUCUCAUGUGCGAAAGCGUGGGGAGCAAACGAGAUUAUAUACCCUGGUAGUCCACGCUGUAAACUAUGUCGAUUUAGAGGUUGUGCUCUUGAAGCGUGGCUUCUGGAUCUAACGCGUUAAAUCCACCGCCUGGAGAGUACGGCCGCAAGGUUAAAACUCAUAUGAAUUGACGGGGGCCCGCA